This 253-nucleotide ribosomal RNA is filed under the name uncultured bacterium. RNAcentral's name for it is "partial 16S ribosomal RNA". It matches the Rfam family "Bacterial small subunit ribosomal RNA", at positions 527 to 779 of the family's 1533-position model. The record is from RNAcentral.
CGAAGGGGCUAGCGUUGUUCGGAUUAACUGGGCGUAAAGGGUGCGUAGGCGGAUCUUUAAGUCAGGGGUGAAAUCCCAAGGCUCAACCUUGGAACUGCCUUUGAUACUGGGGAUCUUGAGUCCGGGAGAGGUGAGUGGAACUGCGAGUGUAGAGGUGAAAUUCGUAGAUAUUCGCAAGAACACCAGUGGCGAAGGCGGCUCACUGGCCCGGAACUGACGCUGAGGCACGAAAGCGUGGGGAGCAAACAGGAUU